CGGACCCCUGGGGGAACCCGUAGGGAAACCGAGGCCCCCAAGCGCAGGGACCAGGCGCCCCUUUCUCUCCCUCGGCAGCUGGAGGCACAGCUGUGCUGUGUCCUUGCCCUGAGGGUGCCCCGGGCGCCCGGCUCGCGGACGAAUUUCCUCAGUUCGGGGGACUUUUCCGUGCAGCUGCUCCGGUUCCGUCUGUGACUCCCAGAGGUCGCCACGCCGCACCCAGGUGGUGGGGGACCCGCCUUCCUGGAGCGAGCCAUUCAUCCAGUUACGGACCCGCCAGGCCCUCUGCAAUGAGAGCAAACCCAGAGGCCUGCUUUCAUGAACUUGAUCAUCUGCUGAGGGAGCCAUUGGUGAAACACCUAACUGUUCAAGUGAAAAUGUCCAACGUUGACAAAUUUUAAUAAGGAAGAGGUCCAGAGUGCUAGGCGUCCAAACAAGCAAGGAACCUGCUCCAGACCUGGGGGGCCAAGGAAAUGAUGCUGGAUGCUGGGAGCUGAGCAGGCGUUAACCACGCACAGAGGAGAAGGCCAUGGCAAGAGAGGGCCUGGCCUGGUGAGAACAGCAAGAGCUGUGUGCCAAGGCCCGGGAGUGGAGGACAGUGGAGGAGGUGAGGCCACGGACAUCCGCAAGGACCGCAGGCCGCGGCAGAGACUGUGGGCCAGAUCCUAAGAGGAAUGGGGAGCCACUGAAGGAUUUUAACCCAAACAGGGACACCUGUGUUUCCAAAAGAUGUUGGAAGGAGCCAGAAUGUGUGUGUCCAGAGGAGAUGAGCAGGCUAUGGAGCAUUUUCAAAAAUCAUUGGAAUCAUUUGUUCUUUAAAGUCUAGGAAUCUCACCUCCUCACCUUGGCUGUGAGGUCUUCUGAGGCAAGAAUGAUGCCUGUUCUUUCUUGGGCAUGUCCUCCCAGCCUGGCCAGCCAGAGGCCUGGACACCUAAGAGCUGCUGGCCUUUCCUUGAACUCUGAGGGCUUCUGUGGAACAGAGAGGAGUUUGACUGGGAGAAUGGGGAGUUUGACCACUUGCUAUGACGUGCGCUGACCAUCAGGGGUGGCACGGAACAUGGCGGGUGUCAGCGACAGUGGAGGUGCUGUGGGCCCCGAUAGGCCCUGAUGAGAACGAGACCACGGCGGGAUGGUGGAGCAGAGGAGGCCACCUAAUGCCAUUGACCAUAUGUGAGAGGAAAAGGACUGGAUUCCAGAAACAGAGGAGACAGAAGAAAGUGUGAGCAAAUCACACCUGCAUCUGUGCAGUCUUCCCAGAUUUCAUGUUUUCCCUUCAGGAUUCCCCCCCCAGAUGUCUACAGGCACUCCGAUGCUAAGGGCAAGUGAUCCAGUUUUCCUAACACUCUAAAACGGUGACAUUUCAAGUGUGAUUUGUGACCAGCAGCAUCAGCAGCACCUGAGAGCUUAUUAGAAAUGCAGAUUCUCAGCCCGACUCCAGACCUAAUGAAUCAGAAUCUGUACUUGAAUCAGAUCCCAGUGUCUGCGGCAUCCAUUACCAUGCCUAGAACCUGGGAGAUCCUCAACAAAAGUUGUUUGGAUUGAAUUUCUACAGAUACAUAGUUAUCCAUCCGUAUAAACAUAGAUACUCAGAGGACAUCUCAUUUUCAGUGUGGCAAAUGGAAAGCACAUAGACUUCACGGUCAGCUGGACUAGGUGCCAAUUCUGCUACCACUUGCUAGCCCGCCUGAUUGUUGGUAAGUUACUAAACCUCUCAGAAUAGGUAAGAUGGGUUUUUGUGAGGCUGAAAUGGGAUGGCAUAUACAGUAUACAGCACAGAUAGGGCACUGUAUAAAUAGUCAUUCCCUCCCUCUUCCAUCUCUCUAGGUCAUUUUUUAAAAAUAUGUUUUUAUUGAUUUCAGAGAGGAAAGGAGAGGGA
Long non-coding RNA from Myotis daubentonii (Daubenton's bat), 1876 nucleotides. RefSeq lists it as uncharacterized. NCBI's taxonomy places the organism in Eukaryota, Metazoa, Chordata, Mammalia, Chiroptera, Vespertilionidae. The record is from RefSeq and is a predicted model, not a curated record.